UACGGGGGGAGCAAGCGUUGUUCGGAUUUACUGGGCGUAAAGGGCGCGUAGGCGGUCGUGACAAGUCACUUGUGAAAUCUCCGGGCUUAACUCGGAACGGUCAAGUGAUACUGUCGGACUAGAGUACAGAAGGGGCAACUGGAAUUCUCGGUGUAGCGGUGAAAUGCGUAGAUAUCGAGAGGAACACCUGCGGCGAAGGCGGGUUGCUGGGCUGAUACUGACGCUGGGGCGCGAAAGCGUGGGGAGCGAACAGG
This 254-nucleotide ribosomal RNA is filed under the name uncultured bacterium. RNAcentral describes it as "partial 16S ribosomal RNA". It matches the Rfam family "Bacterial small subunit ribosomal RNA", at positions 524 to 776 of the family's 1533-position model. The record is from RNAcentral.